ACUCAAAUGAAUUGACGGGGGCCCGCACAAGCGGUGGAGCAUGUGGUUCAAUUCGACGCAACGCGAAGAACCUUACCUGGGCUCGAACGGCUCACGAACACCUUUAGAAAUAGAGGUUUCCCGCAAGGGACGGGAGUCGAGGUGCUGCAUGGCUGUCGUCAGCUCGUGUCGUGAGAUGUUGGGUUAAGUCCCGCAACGAGCGCAACCCUCGUCCUGUGUUGCUAAUCCGCAAGGAUGCACUCUCAGGAGACUGCCGGCGAUAAGCUGGAGGAAGGUGGGGAUGACGUCAAGUCAUCAUGGCCUUUAUGUCCAGGGCUACACACGUGCUACAAUGGGCGGUACAAUGCGCUGCAAACCCGCGAGGGGGAGCUAAUCGCAAAAAACCGUUCUCAGUUCGGAUCGCAGGCUGCAACUCGCCUGCGUGAAGCUGGAAUCGCUAGUAAUGGCGUAUCAGAACGACGCCGUGAAUACGUUCCCGGGCCUUGUACACACCGCCCGU
This 499-nucleotide ribosomal RNA is filed under the name uncultured bacterium. Its description in RNAcentral is "partial 16S ribosomal RNA". It matches the Rfam family "Bacterial small subunit ribosomal RNA", at positions 899 to 1397 of the family's 1533-position model. The record is from RNAcentral.